This is a long non-coding RNA of Cygnus olor (mute swan), 2558 nucleotides long. RefSeq lists it as uncharacterized. The transcript is spliced from 3 exons. The record is from RefSeq and is a predicted model, not a curated record. Lineage: Eukaryota; Metazoa; Chordata; Aves; Anseriformes; Anatidae.
UUUAAUAGGAUAGGAAAAUGGCAGUCCGAGGUGUGAGAUCCCUUCGCCUGGGGGAGAGACAGGACGCGUAUCUUCUGCCUCUGUCACCAAACAACUGAAGCACGCUCCAGUGAGGGCGUGGGGAUGGCAAUGAGACCUUAAGGGAGGUGGUGUGCAUGCUCAUCGCAUUCAUUUUCAAUAAUAUCCACUCUGCACAUCGCCCAGCCUGCCCCGAUCCCCGUUGCUGCUGUGCUAAGCGCGUGCCCCGCAGCUCGGCCAGGAGGAUGCGGUGGGAAGGUCCCCGCAGGGGCUGCCGCGAGAGGGGCUCUCCUGACUGAGCCCCAGCACCCGUGUAGACGCAUGCCGUGUGGCUUCUGUGUUUGUCCCAGCUCUCUAACGGCUGAAGUGACAGACAGACGUGUCAGCGCCUCCGCCGGGAGCCGCGUUCUCGCAGCCGCAGCCUGUCGGCACCGAGCGGGAGCUCUGCUCCCCGGGGAGCGAACGGCGCGCUGGGGUGUGCAGCGGGUGGCACUCUGCCUGCUGAAACGUGCGGUGCCCACAUCUGUCACCUGCUCUUGGUACGUCCGAGCUGGUGUCCGUCACCCUGCAGUUUGGUGCCAGUUCGGUGCUGGUAAAGCUGCAGCAGCCCGGCGCUCACAUUGCGUGCUGCGUGCUGCACCGCGAGGGUCUCGGGAGCGGUCCUGUCUCUUAAGCAAGGGGGUUUCAGGAUACAUGAGAGCAGACACUCACUUAGAAAUCAUUUGCAUUGUCAGUUUGGACAGAUCUCAUCCCCAGAAUGAGCAACAAAACAGGAAAAGCAGAAUGUCCCAUUGGCAUCUGGGAGCUUUGUGCCACGUUCUGGGUUUCAUCUUAGCUAGCUCCUCUUGGGCUGUAGCAGCGCCUGGCUGUGUGUCGUUUCAGCUCCUCUCAUGCAGAACUUAUUUCCAGGGCCGUGGUGAGGGCCCUGACACCCCAGCACAGACGCUGGGGCUGGCCCCAAGCUGCACAGACUGCCCCAGCCCUGCAGCCCUGCCCUCGGGUGCAGCCCGGUGGCCUCCUCCAGCCCCAACCACCGCAGGUGCAUCAGCAGGAGCGAGGGCAGGUGUGUGCCACGAGCAUAAAGCAACACCCAAGCUGCUGAGCUGCAGCUGUGACAGACCCAUUAAAAGUGCUGCCACAGGGUACUGCUCUCCCUGGAGGACGUGUGCCAUGAGCUGAGUGAGGCUGGGGGCAAAGCCGUGCUCCCUGUGCGAGCCUGAGCCCAGGGCAGGGGAAGGGACCUGCGGGAGCAGCACAGGGAAGAGCCGUGCGGGAGCUGGAAUUGUUUCAAAGCCCUGCAGUUUCUCUAGCAAAAUGCACUGUGCUUUGAGGUGGCUUUGAGGCGCUGGGGGAAGCUGAGGCCCGUUUGCAGUCGAGCCCUCAAAAUGCAGUUGGGCAUCAGUGGCAUGGGGCUGGGACCAGAGCGUGCAGGAAGGCAGGUGGGGAGCCGCGGUCCUGCCUGCACUGGGAAGCACCAAAGCCUGGGGCCAUGAUCCCUGGCGAGCUGACUGCUUGCUCUCACCCUGAAAAUUGCCUGUCUCUGGGCCCACCUUCCCCUCUUAAAUCUUGUUGCGGUUUUGCUGCUGGGCAGAGACCUCUCUUGGACGGGGUGGGCUGUGCUGUGGGAACUGGGCUCUUUACGGUGCUCUGUCCCAGCUUUGUCCCAGCCUUCUGCCUCUCAGAAACCUCGCUGUUUAACGUCCGCCUCGAGCACACAGUGCUGUUAGCCACGUGUCCGAGCAGUCACUUCACCUUGAAAUAGGGAAGAACCUUUUGGUGCUGUCACUCCAUGCUGUGGCGGGUGGAAACACCAGCUCAGCUCUCCCACCUUCACCGGGCUGUCUCAGCUCUGGCUCCCUGCUCGCCUGUGUGUCCCCGGCGUCCCCCUUUGGUGGCACCAAGGCAAGUGGUUACCAGCGGCCUCGCUCACCCCAUGCCUCGGCCCCGUGUUUGUGGUCCUUGUUUUGGGUGUCCUGUCAUUGCUCACCAUGUGUGAUGACGGGAACAACAUCCCAUCCAGCGGAGGUCUGACUGCAGCGACCUCCAGGUACUGGGCUGGGGACCCCCAGGGGCUGGGGCAGGACCCCUGGCAGAGCUGAUCCCCCCCCAGCACUGUGCAAGCCUCAGUGCUAAUUGCUCGCUCGGCUCUUUUGGCGUCUCUGAGCGCUGGGAUGUGACUGCUGCAUAUGAAAUGUCGCACUUGUUAUAACAGUUAUUUAACGUUUCUCCGUCCUGUGACUAACGCUUCUGCCGUUUUUGUCUAGGAACAGGAGAUAGCAUUGCUCCUUUUUGUUGUUGUUGUUCAUCCUAAUGUAUCAGGGAAAGAUGUUUUGAUGGUUUUUCUACUGUUUGUUUGUGUCCUUUAUCAGCGCUCUACAAUUCUGAGUUACUGAUUUAAAUUCAGAGUUAUGAAUAUCUCCUUUCUUCUUUUUGUUGGGCAUGUUUUUAUUUUUACGGCUGUUUACAUAUUAACCAGGCAGCUUUUAAACUGGUGCAAACCCACAUCUCCGUUAUGAAUUUGGGGGUAAAACGCUCAUUCU